RNAcentral lists this ribosomal RNA (492 nucleotides) under uncultured bacterium. RNAcentral's name for it is "bacterial SSU rRNA". It matches the Rfam family "Bacterial small subunit ribosomal RNA", at positions 28 to 507 of the family's 1533-position model. The record is from RNAcentral.
GAUGAACGCUAGCUACAGGCUUAACACAUGCAAGUCGAGGGGAAACGACAUCGAAAGCUUGCUUUUGAUGGGCGUCGACCGGCGCACGGGUGAGUAACGCGUAUCCAACCUGCCCACCACUUGGGGAUAACCUUGCGAAAGUAAGACUAAUACCCGAUGAUAUCCCUAGAAGACAUCUGAAAGGGAUUAAAGAUUUAUCGGUGAUGGAUGGGGAUGCGUCUGAUUAGCUUGUUGGCGGGGUAACGGCCCACCAAGGCAACGAUCAGUAGGGGUUCUGAGAGGAAGGUCCCCCACAUUGGAACUGAGACACGGUCCAAACUCCUACGGGAGGCAGCAGUGAGGAAUAUUGGUCAAUGGACGUAAGUCUGAACCAGCCAAGUAGCGUGAGGGAAGACUGCCCUAUGGGUUGUAAACCUCUUUUGUUUGGGAAUAAAGUGAGCCACGUGUGGUUUUUUGCAUGUACCCUAUGAAUAAGGACCGGCUAAUUCCGUA